GGAACAACCGACUUCACACGCUGCAUAGAUAUGAUGUAUAUGAAGAGUUCCUCAAUCAAUUGAUCAAUCAAUCAAUCAAUCAAUAAUAAUAAUAAUUGAGCAGAAUGGGAGUUGUAUGUUGAUUCUUAAUUAGAUGAAAGUGACUAAUGGAUUUAUGUAGCAAAGAUGUAAAAGAUAAUGGCAGGAGGGGAGAGGGGCUCACAUCAAACCACUGUAACUCUUCUUGUAGUUGGAGUGCAGGACCGGGCUUGGUGCCUCCAGUGUA
This 265-nucleotide unclassified non-coding RNA is filed under the name Hevea brasiliensis (rubber tree). The record is from RNAcentral. Lineage: Eukaryota; Viridiplantae; Streptophyta; Magnoliopsida; Malpighiales; Euphorbiaceae.